GAUGAACGCUGGCGGCGUGCCUAAUACAUGCAAGUCGAGCGAACAGACGAGGAGCUUGCUCCUCUGACGUUAGCGGCGGACGGGUGAGUAACACGUGGAUAACCUACCUAUAAGACUGGGAUAACUUCGGGAAACCGGAGCUAAUCCCGGAUAAUAUAUUGAACCGCAUGGUUCAAUAGUGAAAGACGGUUUUGCUGUAACUACUAGAUGGAUCCGCGCCGCAUUAGCUGGUUGGUAAGGUAACGGCUUACCACGGCGACGAUGCGUAGCCGACCGGAGGGGGUGAUCGGCCACACUGGAACUGAGACACGGUCCAGACUCCUACGGGAGGCAGCAGUAGGGAAUCUUCCGCAAUGGGCGAGAGCCUGACGGAGCAACGCCGCGUGAGUGAUGAAGGUCUUCGGAUCGUAAAACUCUGUUAUUAGGGAAGAACAAAUUUGUAAGUAACUAUGCACGUCUUGACGGUACCUAAUCAGAAAGCCACGGCUAACUACGUG
RNAcentral lists this ribosomal RNA (497 nucleotides) under uncultured bacterium. Its description in RNAcentral is "partial 16S ribosomal RNA". It matches the Rfam family "Bacterial small subunit ribosomal RNA", at positions 28 to 507 of the family's 1533-position model. The record is from RNAcentral.